This 303-nucleotide ribosomal RNA is filed under the name uncultured bacterium. RNAcentral's name for it is "partial 16S ribosomal RNA". It matches the Rfam family "Bacterial small subunit ribosomal RNA", at positions 507 to 807 of the family's 1533-position model. The record is from RNAcentral.
AGCAGUCGCCGCGGUAAUACAGAGGGUGCGAGCGUUAAUCGGAUUUACUGGACGUAAAGCGUGCGUAGGCGGCUUCUUAAGUCGGAUGUGAAAUCCCUGAGCUUAACUUAGGAAUUGCAUUCGAUACUGGGAAGCUAGAGUAUGGGAGAGGAUGGUAGAAUUCCAGGUGUAGCGGUGAAAUGCGUAGAGAUCUGGAGGAAUACCGAUGGCGAAGGCAGCCAUCUGGCCUAAUACUGACGCUGAGGUACGAAAGCAUGGGGAGCAAACAGGAUUAGAUACCCGAGUAGUCCCUGUCUCUUAUAC